Molecule: unclassified non-coding RNA, 1562 nt
Filed under: uncultured fungus
Lineage: Eukaryota; Fungi
Description: sequence contains 18S rRNA gene, ITS1, 5.8S rRNA gene, ITS2, 28S rRNA gene
Rfam family: Eukaryotic large subunit ribosomal RNA (bases 597-1562)
Source: RNAcentral
GGAGGGAUCAUUAGAGGGUCGCGAGGCCUCCUAAUCUCUCCAACCAACCCGCGUACCACCCGAGGGGGCCCGAAAGGGCCACUACAGACUGCCUCGGUCGGCGGCCCCAGGGGGGGCCUCUGCCCACGUCCGGCGCGUGACUGCCCGGCGCGGGUGCCGGCCGGUGGCCCAAACCAAAACUACCGUAUAAUACCUAUUACCUUCUGAAGAAACGAGAAAUCAUUACAACCUGCAACGAUGGAUCUCUUGGCUCUGGCAUCGAUGAAGAACGCAGCGAAAUGCGAUACGUAAUGUGAAUUGCAGAUCUCUCAGUGAACCAUCGAAUUUUUGAACGCACAUAGCGCCCGCCGGUCAUUCCGGCGGGCAUGCCUGUCCGAGCGUCGAUGACGCCGCUCGAGCCCCCGUGCUCGGUGUUGGGGCGCUAGGUCUCCCAGAGGCCUAGGCCCCCAAGUAGCAGUGCGCGGUCCGGCUGCGGGCCCCGGGUACAGUAACUUCACCGUUGAGAUGCCCUGGGACUCGCUGGCCGGGUCAGCCGUAAAACCCCCGACAUAGGCCUCCCCCCGCCCGCCCCCGGGUGACGGGAGACCGCCUAAUGUUGACCUCGGAUCAGGUAGGACUACCCGCUGAACUUAAGCAUAUCAAUAAGCGGAGGAAAAGAAACCAACAGGGAUUGCCCCAGUAGCGGCGAGCGAAGCGGCAAGAGCUCAGAUUUGAAAUCUGGCCGCCCACGGCGGUCCGAGUUGUAAUCUGCAGGCGGGUUCUCUGGCGAGCGCGCACCACCUAAGUCUCCCUGGAACGGGGCGCCAUAGAGGGUGAGAGCCCCGUGAGGAGGGGCGCGCGAGCCUGUGUGAGGCCUGUCCGACGAGUCGAGUAGUUUGGGAAUGCUGCUCUAAACGGGAGGUAUAUUCCUUCUAAAGCUAAAUACCGGCCAGAGACCGAUAGCGCACAAGUAGAGUGAUCGAAAGGUGAAAAGCACUUUGAAAAGAGAGUGAAACAGUACGUGAAAUCGUUGCAGGGGAAGCGCUGGUUACCAGUCGCGCACCUGGGGGUUCAGCCUUCGCCUCGGCGUCGGUGUACUCCCCCAGGCUGCGGGUCAGCACCGGCUCCCGCGGCGGGAUAAAUGCCCAGGGAACGUGGCCCUCGCUUCGGCGGGGGUGUUAUAGCCCUGGGCGCAGUGCCGCCCGCCGGGGGCCGAGGACAUUCGCGCCUUCGGGCUAGGAUGCUGGCAUAAUGGUCAUCAGCGUCCCGUCUUGAAACACGGACCAAGGAGUCAAGCACUGCUGCGAGUGUUAGGGUGUCAAACCCGACCGCGCAAUGAAAGUAAAAACCUUCUGGGUGGGAACCCUCCGGGGGGCACCACCGACCGGGCCUGAAGCUUCUGCGGAGGGACCUGAGUAAGAGCAUCAGUGCUUGGACCCGAAAGAUUGCGAACUAUGCCUGUGUAGGGUGAAGCCAGAGGAAACUCUGGUGGAGGCUCGCAGCGGUUCUGACGUGCAAAUCGAUCGUCAAACAUGGGCAUGGGGGCGAAAGACUAAUCGAGCAAUCUAGUAGCUGGUUGCCGC